UCAACUUUAUCUGCCAUCGAGCCUUCCCGGGCCCACAUGCCCUUCUCGCUCCUCCUCCUCCUCCCCUUUCUCGCGUCCCCAUUUCCUCCCACCAAAUACGGCACCGUGAUCCGCCACCGACCCGAUCCCCGGCCAUGGCCGCCGACUCCGCCGCCUGCUGCCCGUGGGACGCGCUCCCGGCGCACGUCCAGGAGCGCAUCCUCUCCCGCCUGCCGCUCACCGCGCUCAUCCCCGUCGCCGCCGUCUCCCGGGCGCUGCGCCGCCUCCUGCGCUCCCCGGCCUUCCACGCCCUCCUCUCCCAGCACCGCCUCGACGCCUUCUUCCUCCUCUCGCCGCGCCUCGCCUUCCACCCGCUCUCCCGGCGCCUCCUCCAGGUGCCCACCACGCCCCCGCUCGAUCCAUCUUGCCCUCCCCUCAUCUCCUCCGCCUCCCCCUCCUUCCUUGUCACCGCCGACUCGCUCCUCCGCCUCCCAGUGCUCCCCGACCGCUCCUACCUCAUCGCCGUCGUCGUCCCACCCUCACCCUCCACCUCCUCCAGCCGGGAUUACACCCUCGUCGCCGUCACCACCAACGGCGCCGCUGUCCGCUCGUAUUCCCUGGACUCCGCCGAUCCCUCCCCACGGUGGGUACCUGGGGCCGAGCUGCCGCUGCCAUUUGCGAUCCUUGGCAAUGCUGCGGUCGCCAGUGACCGUUCUCGGCUCUUUGUGCUUGGCCGGGGUCCGGACGCGCUUCUGGUGCUUGAUCUCGAGACCGGAAAGUGGGCUGCUCCGCCAGUUGUGAUCCCGCACGGCCUUACGACGGCGCACCUGUUUGUUCUUGAUGAUCGGCUAUUCUUGGUCGGUGGGGUGGAGAGGCUCGGGGUACUGGAGCGGGUGGUGGUGUGGCAGUUGGACAACGACGAGGCAGUGGGAUGGGUGGAGGUAGCCACAAUGCCGUCGGAGGUGUUCACUGAGCUGGUGGCUGAUAGGCAUGGCAGUUUCUGGCACUUUCAGGCUGCGGACAGAAUGGGGACUCUUUGUCUGUACAAUGCUGUAGAUGGGAGACUGGUGAUGUUUGAUGCGGUGGAUUGUGUAUGGACGAUGAUGCCACGAGUGUCUGGGUUAGGAGCCGGGGAGAGCCAAAUGUGGUUUGGGCAUGUCUUGGAGCCAGGCGUCGAGCUCUUGCUGGGAGAACGCAGCCCGUGUUCAUGAGGAUGUUGGAGAACUAACAACAGUGGGCUGCCCGGGAAUUGAUGGACCUGCUUCUGAUCAUGGGCUAGACUUGGUGUUGUUUCAGCUGGUAGCUGGCCUUUGAUGACUAGACUAGAAGGAACCGUGGGAGUGAAUCAUCUUCAGCUGGCAUACCAUGUAUAGGGGACGACUAAAAUAGAAGCGCAACCCUUGUAGAAAGGAUCUAGUAAUUGCCAGUUGAACAAUGAUCUAAGGAUCACACCGUCGUACAUAACCAGAAGGUGUGGCCUGGCGUAUGUGGAAGGAACAAAGGUUGCAUGAGCUUGUGGAUCCGUUGUUAGGGGACGGAUAUGAAGUCGCCGAGAUAAUGAAAUGCGCUCAGGUGGCGCUGCUUUGUGCUCGGGAAGGUCCAGCAGAUCGACCCACACCAUGACAGAUGUUGCUGCAAUCCUGAACUCUGAAAGCAUAAGAUUACCAAUGGAGCCUAAGCUUCCCACCACACUGAUCCAUGGGUGUGCCGACAGAGACACGACAUCGACAUACGUGGACCAAUCAAGCAGGACAAUUGACAUAACCAUGACGAGUUCCGCUCCAAUGUCUACUAGAGUUCGAAUCAUUCUGGACCCGGAGGUUUGAUAUGAUGAACAACAUUCAGUACCAUAUAUAAUAUACAAAAUGCGAGUAUGGAUCGUGGGCUUUUUACGUGUCAUGUAGCGUACAUAUUCGAGAUAUUGAGACCAAUUUCAGAGUGAAAAUAAACAUGUUGUGUGGUAGCAGCUGCCAGAUUGAUUUUCCAUC
Molecule: RNA transcript, 1967 nt
Organism: Triticum aestivum (bread wheat)
Lineage: Eukaryota; Viridiplantae; Streptophyta; Magnoliopsida; Poales; Poaceae
Gene name: F-box only protein 6
Exons: 6
Source: RefSeq, a predicted model, not a curated record